Molecule: ribosomal RNA, 253 nt
Filed under: uncultured bacterium
Lineage: Bacteria
Description: partial 16S ribosomal RNA
Rfam family: Bacterial small subunit ribosomal RNA
Source: RNAcentral
UACGUAGGGUGCAAGCGUUGUUCGGAAUCAUUGGGCGUAAAGCGCGUGUAGGCGGUCAAAUAAGUCGAGUGUGAAAUCCCUGGGCUCAACCGAGGAAGUGCAUCCGAAACUAUUUGGCUGGAAGACGGUAGAGGAAGGUGGAAUUCCUAGUGUAGAGGUGAAAUUCGUAGAUAUUAGGAGGAAUACCGGCGGCGAAGGCGGCCUUCUGGACCGAUCUUGACGCUGAGACGCGAAAGCGUGGGUAGCAAACAGG